CUACGGGGGGCAGCAGUGGGGAAUAUUGCACAAUGGGGGAAACCCUGAUGCAGCAACGCCGCGUGGAGGAUGACGCAUUUCGGUGUGUAAACUCCUUUUAUAUCCCAAGAUAAUGACGGUAGGAUAUGAAUAAGCACCGGCUAACUCCGUGCCAGCAGCCGCGGUAAUACGGAGGGUGCAAGCGUUACUCGGAAUCACUGGGCGUAAAGGGCGCGUAGGCGGGUUGUCAAGUCUUGAGUGAAAUCCAACGGCUCAACCGUUGAACUGCUUGAGAAACUGGCAGCCUAGAGUGAGGGAGAGGUAGAUGGAAUUGGUGGUGUAGGGGUAAAAUCCGUAGAGAUCACCAGGAAUACCCAUUGCGAAGGCGAUCUGCUGGAACUCUACUGACGCUGAGGCGCGAAAGCGUGGGGAGCAAACAGGAUUAGAUACCCGCGUAGUC
RNAcentral lists this ribosomal RNA (439 nucleotides) under uncultured bacterium. RNAcentral describes it as "partial 16S ribosomal RNA". It matches the Rfam family "Bacterial small subunit ribosomal RNA", at positions 339 to 795 of the family's 1533-position model. The record is from RNAcentral.